AAAAAAAUAGUCUAGCGUUUCCUUAAAUCACUUUUGCCGCGUUGCGUGUUCAGAGCAAAUUCGAAUGGAAAAUUGUUCUCGUUUGCUAGCUCACGUAUCAAAGAGAGAAGGGUUCUCUUGCCUUCGAUAGCUCAGUUGGCAGAGCGGAGGACUGUAGGUGCUCAUAUCGGUCAUCCUUAGGUCGCUGGUUCGACUCUGGCUCGAAGGAGGGCUGUCUCCGUGCGAGUUGGCUUCUUUUUUUUUCAAAAUGUUAAUUUGGCCAGAGGUGUGUAAAAAGCUCUUCCCUGACCGGGAAUCGAACCCGGGCCGCGGCGGUGAGAGCGCCGAAUCCUAACCACUAGACAACCAGGGACGAAAACCGAGAAAUUGGUGGCCUCUUCGCUGGCCAUGCUGGCCCCUGUCUACCACCAAAAGCUCCUACGAAAGGCACGUGAGCGUCAGCACUGGAAAGUGGAGCAAUAAGAUGGUGGCUUGGUCUGAUGAAUCAUGUUUUCUUUUACAUCAUGUAUGGCUUAGGGUUAGGGUUAGAAAAGGCUUGAAAAGACGCUUGGCCAAGGAGUUGCA
This is a long non-coding RNA of Ictalurus punctatus (channel catfish), 564 nucleotides long. The record is from Ensembl. Lineage: Eukaryota; Metazoa; Chordata; Actinopteri; Siluriformes; Ictaluridae.